UGGGCCCGGCCAAUUAAUGCAGUCGUACCAGGUCUCGUUAAUGAUCGGUGCUUGCACGGAGAUUCAACAUGUGAACGAGUGGCGGACGGGUGAGUAACACGUGGGUAACCUGCCCUUAAGUGGGGGAUAACAUUUGGAAACAGAUGCUAAUACCGCAUAGAUCCAAGAACCGCAUGGUUCUUGGCUGAAAGAUGGCGUAAGCUAUCGCUUUUGGAUGGACCCGCGGCGUAUUAGCUAGUUGGUGAGGUAAUGGCUCACCAAGGCGAUGAUACGUAGCCGAACUGAGAGGUUGAUCGGCCACAUUGGGACUGAGACACGGCCCAAACUCCUACGGGAGGCAGCAGUAGGGAAUCUUCCACAAUGGACGCAAGUCUGAUGGAGCAACGCCGCGUGAGUGAAGAAGGCUUUCGGGUCGUAAAACUCUGUUGUUGGAGAAGAAUGGUCGGCAGAGUAACUGUUGUCGGCGUGACGGUAUCCAACCAGAAAGCCACGGCUAACUACGUGCCAGCAGCCGCGGUAAUACAUAGGUGGCAAGCGUUAUCCGGAUUUAUUGGGCGUAAAGCGAGCGCAGGCGGUUUUUUAAGUCUGAUGUGAAAGCCCUCGGCUUAACCGAGGAAGCGCAUCGGAAACUGUGAAACUUGAGUGCACAACAGGACAGUGGAACUCCAUGUGUAGCGGUGAAAUGCGUAGAUAUAUGGAAGAACACCAGUCGCGAACGCUGCUGUCUGGUCUGUAACUGACGCUGAAGCUCGAACGCAUGCGUAGCGAACAGGACUAGAUACCUCUGGUAGUCCAUCGCCUGUAAACGAUGAAUGCUAGGUGUUUGUAGGGUUUCCAGCUCUUUCAAGGCCGCAGCUA
This 858-nucleotide ribosomal RNA is filed under the name Lactobacillus sp. RNAcentral describes it as "bacterial SSU rRNA". It matches the Rfam family "Bacterial small subunit ribosomal RNA", at positions 37 to 854 of the family's 1533-position model. The record is from RNAcentral. Lineage: Bacteria; Bacillati; Bacillota; Bacilli; Lactobacillales; Lactobacillaceae.